Molecule: ribosomal RNA, 484 nt
Filed under: uncultured bacterium
Lineage: Bacteria
Description: partial 16S ribosomal RNA
Rfam family: Bacterial small subunit ribosomal RNA
Source: RNAcentral
AUUGAACGCUGGCGGCAUGCUUUACACAUGCAAGUCGAACGGCAGCGCGGGCUUCGGCCUGGCGGCGAGUGGCGAACGGGUGAGUAAUACAUCGGAACGUGCCCAGUAGUGGGGGAUAGCUCGGCGAAAGCCGGAUUAAUACCGCAUACGACCUGAGGGUGAAAGCGGGGGAUCUUCGGACCUCGCGCUAUUGGAGCGGCCGAUGGCAGAUUAGCUAGUUGGUGGGGUAAAGGCCUACCAAGGCGACGAUCUGUAGCUGGUCUGAGAGGACGACCAGCCACACUGGGACUGAGACACGGCCCAGACUCCUACGGGAGGCAGCAGUGGGGAAUUUUGGACAAAGGGCGAAAGCCUGAUCCAGCAAUGCCGCGUGUGUGAUGAAGGCCUUCGGGUUGUAAAGCACUUUUGGCGGGAACGAAAAGGACUGUGCCAAUACCACGAUUCGAUGACGGUACCCGCAGAAUAAGCACCGGCUAACUACGUG